This 423-nucleotide ribosomal RNA is filed under the name uncultured bacterium. RNAcentral describes it as "partial 16S ribosomal RNA". It matches the Rfam family "Bacterial small subunit ribosomal RNA", at positions 360 to 775 of the family's 1533-position model. The record is from RNAcentral.
ACUUUUGGACAAUGUGGGAAACCCUUAUCCAGCCAUCCCGCGUGUAUGAUGAAGGCCUUCGCGUUGUAAAGUACUUUCGGCAGUGAAGAAAAGGUAUCUCCUAAUACGAGCGACUGCUGACGGCAUCUGCAGAAUAAGCACCAGCUAACUACGUGCCUGGAGCCGCGGUAAUACGUAGGGUGCAAGCGUUAAUCGGAAUUAAUGGGCGUAAAGCGUGUGUAGGCGGUUCGGAAAGAAAGAUGUGAAAGCCCAGGGCUCAACCUUGGAACUGCAUUUUUAACUGCCGAGCUAGAGUAUGUCAGAGGGGAGUAGAAUUCCACGUGUAGCAGUGAAAUGCGUAGAUAUGUGGAGGAAUACCGAUGGCGAAGGCAGCCCCCUGGGAUAAUACUGACGCUCAGACUCGAAAGCGUGGGGAGCAAACAG